RNAcentral lists this long non-coding RNA (1929 nucleotides) under Gallus gallus (chicken). Its description in RNAcentral is "long non-coding RNA NONGGAT006493". The record is from RNAcentral. Lineage: Eukaryota; Metazoa; Chordata; Aves; Galliformes; Phasianidae.
CAGACUUCCUAGAGAGGUGCUCGAUGCUCCAUGCCUGUCAGUGUUCAAAAGGCUAACGCCCUCUCAAUAACAUGCUUUAACCUUUGAUUAGCCCUGAAAUGAUCAGGUAGUUGGACUCGGUGGUCUUUGAAGGUACCUUCCAGCUGAACUAUUCUACUCUACUCUACUCUACUCUACUCUACUCUACUCUACCCUACCUUACCCUACCCUACUCUACCCUACCCUACCCUGCACUACCUUUUGAGUAUGCCCGGUUUCAGACCUUUGGUUACCAACCAGCUGCCUCCCUAGCCAUGAUUCCCGGGGACAACAUGUGCUGCUGUCUCCCCCAGGAGCACCCAUGGCACCGAUUCACCUGCUGCAGUUACGAGCAAGCCCUGCCUUAGCUGCACCUCAUCCUAACACCACUAAAACUCAUGUUGACAACUUGUACAGUGGGACGAGCCGCAGCCUUGAACAAAGCUGGGUGCCACCAGACGGCAUUGGGUAGGCUGGCAGGUGGUACCAGGCUUGGUUUCCCAAGGCAGAAGCUGUUACGCUUCCUGGACAGCAUCUGAUUUGUUUCUCCAGUUGCACGGAGGAAAAAAUAGCCGAGGUUAAUAUUUUACCAGCAGGCAAUAAAGCUGACCUGGUAUUCAGACAUCUACAUGAGCUGACAGGGCUGUCACCUGGCAGCAGGGCUAUGCUGGCUGUCCCUGUGUGCCCCCAACCCGCUGCAGGCUGCAGCCAGGGCAGUGUCCCACACACGAGCUGGUUAGAGGCAUGCACUGGAAUAAUGUCAGUGGCUCCAGUCCUGGAAUAACUUGCUGAGAGGCUGUAACGUGAUCAUGCCUGAUCUCUUCGUGGUAUGCAUGAACUGUUUUGGUGCUAGAAAGCCUCUGUCUGCUAAACAGACUCAUGGAUUUUGGGGGUUGGUAACAGAUGCCAAAGCUGGCCCUGAUAGAACAGGGCGGAGGGCCACCACUAAGUGGUGAGGCAGGGCAGGAGCUCCCAGGGCUUUAUCUGGGAAGGGCGGUGUGAAUGGGACUGCAGGCAACAUCAGCUGCGAACAGACCCUCCUUUCAUCUAUCUCAGCUUUGAAGUGCAAAAUGAUGUGCUUCUACCUGGGAGGAAGCCUUGGCAUUUUUCUAGUUGAAAGAACCUGUACAACUUUUGGUGUUUCGCAUUUGAAGAGACUAAUGGCAGGGAAGAUUUUAGAAGCAUUUCCUUUCUAAAAGUCGACCCAUACAGCGUGUAGCUAAUGUACAAUAUACCUUUCAGCACGUAGCUAACUACAUCAAGCUGUGCUGCUCUGGAACACAGGGCUGAGGUUUUGGAGCACAGGGAUUUGCGUUGCACUUACUCUUGUGCUGCUGGGAGGUUACAAAAGGGAAGGAGGAGAGGGAGGACCACUUCCCUGACUUCCCCAAAAUAUGAGUCAGAGAUCCAAAGCUUAGACUGUAAACUGUGAUUGCAUCUUCUCUGAAAGGCAGAUCUGGAAACACAGAACAGCUUGGCUGGGAAUAGAGAUGGGCAAAUCAGCAGUGCUGGCAAGGAACGUUUUUUCUUUUCCAGCUCAUGGAGGGACAGAGACUCCAGCAAAAUGGAUGAACCUCGCCAUGGAAACAUACAGGCGUUCCAAAUGCCCUUGAGGCCUGAGCUGUUCAUUACCAUCACACCAAGCAUGACUGUAAAUGACCUUCUGUACCCUUGAUUGUAACUUCUGAGUACAGUAAACACCGCCUGGACAUCGCCUCUGCAAAAAUCUCCCCUUUCUUCCCCUGGGGCUCUUGUCAGCUCCAGGAUGACAGGAAGCAUCUGCAUCAGCUCCCAGCAACACUUCAGUGGUGCUUGCAGACAAAUUCGUAUUUCCCAAAGAUGGGAAGAAGAUUCCCAGAAGAAGGAGGUCAACUGCCUCAGGUAUUUCUAGAGAUUAGUACUCAAAUGGCA